AACAUGAUGGACUAUAGGACAGGACUGCUGCUUUUAACCAUCUGCUGCUGGACAGGUGUUGAUGGUCAGACUCUGACAGAAUCUGAACCAGUGAUUAAAAGACCUGGAGAAUCCCACAGACUGACCUGUACAGCCUCUGGGUUCACAUUCAGCAGCUACUGGAUGAACUGGAUCAGACAGGCUCCUGGAAAAGGACUGGAGUGGAUCGCUUUUAUCUAUGGUGACAGUAGCGGCAAAUUCUACUCCCAGUCAGUUCAGGGCCGGUUCACCAUCUCCAGAGACAACAACAGACAGCAGCUGUAUCUGCAGAUGAACAGUCUGAGGACUGAAGACUCUGCUGUGUAUUACUGUGCCAGAGGGCCACAACAACACAAACCAUCAGUAGACCUGAACAAAAACCCCUCGGUGCCUGAACACUUGUAA
Molecule: non-coding RNA, 423 nt
Organism: Sebastes umbrosus (honeycomb rockfish)
Lineage: Eukaryota; Metazoa; Chordata; Actinopteri; Perciformes; Sebastidae
Source: the annotation of a RefSeq genome assembly